Molecule: unclassified non-coding RNA, 1021 nt
Filed under: Hevea brasiliensis (rubber tree)
Lineage: Eukaryota; Viridiplantae; Streptophyta; Magnoliopsida; Malpighiales; Euphorbiaceae
Source: RNAcentral
GUUUGGAACGAGUGGAUGAAACAACCAAAAUUCAGUUCCGAGUCGGAGUGUAUAGGUCUCUGCCUGCUUCGAACUUGCUCAAAUUCAAAAGGUAACUAAUUUGAUUUGAUUGUGCCUCUCUCUCCCGAUUGCACAUUAGCUUAAUCAAUUACGUUCCUAGUCUCCGUUUUCUUGGAUUUUGUGUCCGUAUAUGUUGUUUAUCUAGGGUUUACAUCGAAACCCAAUCUUAAUUGCUUGCUGAAUAUUAAGUAUUCGCGAUGUGAUCUGCGUGUUUGUUGGAAUCGCGAGAGAGGGUGAGAUAGUGACUGUUAUGAUUUUGAUUAUUGGAGAAGCAGUGUUUGAUUUGUUGAAGAUGUUUUCAUAUGGAUUUUGGGCGUUUGCUUCUGUUAGGCGUUGCAUAAUCGUGUGCGUUUUCUUUUCUUUUGAAGUGUUUUCGCCCUGUUGGGUUUUUCUGUUAGCCUUUUUGUAAGUGGUUUCAGUCGCUCUCUUACUAUUGAAAUGAAACUUUCUUUUUGUUAUUUUAAGCAUUUUGAGCUAUUGAUUUUGAAUGCAAGAUAUCUCCCUCCCUCUCUUUCCUUGGUAAUGCGUGGUAAUGGGAAAUUACUUUUACAGUGGAUAGAGUGAUAACAUAUUUUAUUUAUGUAUUUAUUUUGGAUAGAAUAGCUCCUUAAUUUGUGUUCCAGGGCCUUAAUCUCAUAAAUGAUUAAAUUGAUGCAUUAAAAUAUAAUGCAAAUUCAUGUCUAAAUGUUUAAAUAAUGCCAGUGCAUUGUAAUUUGCAUUCUAGUUAUUUGUAUGCUUUAAUUCUUGCCAUUUUAGACUGGGCUUUCAAUUUUUCUCAAUGAAAGAAUUGGAUUAAUGCAACGAAACAAGGUUGAUUUAUUUGCUUUCUGUAAUUGGGAUAUUUCUUGUCAAAAGCAUUUUCAUUUUGAAGGGACUAAUGUGCAAGUGCUAACUUCUUUUUUUUAUUAUUUUUUGAUUAUGGAGUACCCAGUUAGAAGACAGUAUGGAUCCAUCAGAACUA